Limulus polyphemus (Atlantic horseshoe crab) is the source of this 4718-nucleotide RNA transcript. It is a transcript of the gene named sorting nexin-8-like, with no coding region annotated. NCBI's taxonomy places the organism in Eukaryota, Metazoa, Arthropoda, Merostomata, Xiphosura, Limulidae. The record is from RefSeq and is a predicted model, not a curated record. The transcript has 16 exons.
UAUUGGUGGGCGUGUUUUCAAGUUCCUUAUUAUGCUAUUACUACUAAAUAAUAUCAAUAGGAGGAUAUCAAAGUGUGACAUCUUAGUGUAUCUCAUUCUGGACUUGAAAGAGACAUUUCACAUACCAGGACUAUUGUAUGUUACCAAAAAAGGAUAAAACAAUGGCAGCAGACCUAACUUCUGGUUCAGUCCCACAUUUCUACAGGGACAUUUAUGACAUUUUAUGUCCAGACCAGCAAACACAACUGGACCAAGACAUGUUCAUCAAACUUCUGAUGAAGUCUAGUCUUCCAAAGGAAACACUUACACGGAUAUGGGAACUGGUGGAUUGUCAUCAUGGUUACCUAACUCGCUCAGGGGUUUACAAAGCCUUAGCUUUAAUUGCUGUAAGUCAACAAGGAAAGCCAGUCAAUGAUGUCGUGCUCCAGAACUUUGGUUGCCAAGAACUCCCUCGGCCUUCCCUGGGAGACUUGUCUGAUUUGAAGGCUUUGAGUGUUCGACUAAGAAGAGAGAAAAACCCUACAAGACUAAGCAUGUCCUACCGAGAAGUCUGUUCUAGGGACAUAAUCAAAGUUACUCUGAUACCCAAAAAGAAGGGACUCAUCUUGAAACAUGUAGAAUAUGAAGUAUCUAGUCAGAGAUUUAAUUCUGUUGUCCAGAGAAGAUACAAUGACUUUGUAGUUCUACAUGAAAUGUUGUUACACAGAUUUCCAUACAGAAUGAUACCUCAGCUGCCUCCAAAAAAACUUGUCAAAACAGCUGAUGCUCACUUUAUUGAAGAACGACGAAAAGCUCUGAAGAGGUUCUUGACACUAGUAGUUAGACAUCCAAAUAUUUCUGAGGACCCACUUAUUCAUUUCUUUCUUACAUUCUUAGGUAGGGAUGUCCAACAUAAUCUUAAGGAACAAUUUCGUUCUGCACCUGAUGAGUUUUCUACUAAUAGGCUAGCUCAAACAGUUGAAGAGUUGGAUCCCCUUGACACACCUACACAAUCCAGACUAGCUCGUGACCUGAUGAAACACGUACACUCCAGUGUCAGUAAGCUCAGAGAUGCUGCAGACAGUAUUAAAGAACAAACACUAGAGGGUGCUGUGGACAUGCUGACAUUUGGAAGAGAGUUGAGCUGGCUUGCCGACAUGGCCAAUACUGACUCAGAGUGGAGUUCAGGUGGAAAUGAAACAUGGAAUCAUUUGAAGAAAGGUUUUAAAUCCCUUCAUCCUAUGUUUCCUCCUAUUUCUAAUGCACUAGCUGAACAUUCGAAGCAGGAAGAUGAGGAUGUUGUUGAAAAGCUGAAUUUGUUCUUGGAUCUUCUAAGUGCAUACAAAGAGUUACAUGAUCGCUAUGACAAUAGCAUUAACAAAAUGAAGAGAAAGUCAUCAAGUGACCUGUCUGCUCCACAGGAGGGAGAACAACAGGAGAGGAGGAAACAUUUUGCACUCCACUGCAUCUCUAUGGAAACACAACUUGUUCAUUGUUACAUGAAUAUAGUUGGUGAGAUGUUACACUCCUUAAUAGAACUGGAGACAAUCAAACACUAUAAGAUAUACGAACUAUGGAAGAACAUGCACCCUAUGGUAGAGAAUAUGAAUUCUGCUGAUGUUGUGGAAGAAAGAUUAGGAUCAGCAUCUCCAACUGGAAACAAGAGUCCCUACUUUCCUUCCAAAUGAAAUCUAUGACAAGGGUUAUUAUGUAAAUUUAAGGUCACAGCAAAUUAUUAACAUAUAUUAUUAAUGGGGAUGUGACUUCUCCCUCUUUCUUCAGAAUUCUGACCUUGAGAUUCUUCAAAGUUGAGGGGGUAGGUCAUUCAUCAAUUAUUUUCUUAUUAAAUUGUAUUAUAUCAAUGGUCCCCAAUAGGUAGCCCAUGAAAGCAUGACUGGUGGUCUACACUAUGAUUAUAUAUUGCACUGUUAAUCAUUAUAAUACUCAAGAGUAAACAAACCUGUCAUUUCCAAAAAGCUCAGGCCAAGUCUGUAUAGACAUCUUCUGAAGUGUGGCCCAUUGGGGACCACUACAUUGGUAAUUAAAGAGUAAUUUUUUUUAAUAGUGGAAAACAAAUUGGAUUGAAUAAUAAUGAAAGAACCAAUAUAUUCUAUUGUAUUUGCUCCUGAACCACAGUGGGGUUUCAGCAUUUUCCACUCAUAACCCUAUAAACAAUAGAAGUACUUCAUGUCAUAUCAACUUCAAAAGUGAUCCAGAUUCUAGGAAGCAAAAACAGAAAUCUGACGGAAGAUAUACAGCUUAGAAAAGUGUAAGUCAAUCUUCAUAAACCAGACUGAAGCAAGGAUACACUACAGGUUAUAAGAAAUACAGGUUAAGUUUUGUAAUCCAGAUUGAAGAAACACAAAGACACUAUGGAUUAUAAAGGUUAUAAGUCAAGCUCUGUAAACCAGAUUGAUGCUCUUAGAUAGUUGAUUUUACCAACCAGCUCUAACAUUGAGCAGAGACAGAUUGGCUGAACAAUUUCUGUUAUUUCUCACUCAAUGCAGGUUAUUGAAUAGAGAAGUAAUCCCUGUGAAGCAACAUCAGUCACCCAGUGGGUUCCUGCAUUUUGUCUGUACUUGUUUUUUUAAUGAACAAUACCUCUUUAAAAGCUCUGGAAAGAUUAUAAGUUGUUGACUGGAAGGAAACAAAACCCAAAGGCUGAUGAAACCUCAAUGUGAUGUAAGUAACAUAACACGAAAAUGUCUCGGGUCAUCCAUGUCCCUAGCUUUAAGAUUUCAUCAAGAGAUGCCAAUGGCCAGAGGCAAAAGAAGCCAAGAGAUGAGAAACUUGAUGGGAAGCGAUAUUAAAAAUAUGUUUCACCUCCUGUGGAGAAAUGGGCAAGCUGAAUGAGUUGCUUAACUCAUCCAGUCAAAGUGGAAGGAUAUAAAUUUGAGAAUUAAAGAAAUCCCACUGCAGAAAAAGACAGUUUUGAUUGUUUCUAAAAGUAGCUGUUUGAGCAAAGUAACUUCGUACUGCUUCCACAGGACAAAGUAGUUGAUUGGAGUCUGAGCUAUCAUACAGAGAAAAAGUUAAAGGGAGGGUGAGUGAAGAAAACAUCUGAUCAACCUCCUGAGCAGUCCAAGUCUUGGGAAGUGUUCUAGAAAUAACUUUUACCUGUCCCCAUGAGAAAGAGUGCAGAAGGCAUCUAAAACAAGAAUAUCAAAGCAAUGUCUUCCAAAAAGUAAGAAAAGAACAUUUCUUAAGAGAAAGAUAAUAUAGAAGAAAGGACUAAACAGAGGUUCCAAUCCAAAGAGGACAAUGGAUUAUAAAGGCCCAAUAGAGGUGCAUAAGAACUGGAGAUAGGAAAGGAGAAUUGCUGGAAAAAAGUGGUAGAGACAAGCAGCAUUAGCUUAAUGUUCCAAAGUAUAAGAAACAUCUCCAAAAACCUCAUUACAAAAAAGGGUGCAACAUGAAGGUUCCUGAGAGAAAAGUGGUCGGAGGCCAAUGUCAGAAAAUAAGGCAUCCUAAUGAAGUACAUUAUACAUACUAGAAAUAAAGAAAAGUACAUGAAGUGGGAUAGGAUGGGUGAAGAAAAACAAAGCCAAAGUAUAAAACAGGUAUGUACAACUUUCCUCAGUAGGGUCAUAACAUACAACUUCUAAAAGAAGGUGAGGUGUGGACAUAUAACAAAGAAAUUGAGUAAGUAAAAGACGCGUUGAUGAAAAGGGAAGGAGAGAUAUAAAAGAGGAAAGCACUGUGCAGAAAGAACAGACUCGCGUGAUUGACAAGCAACAAGGUACCCUAACUAGACAAAGUGAAAGUAGAAGACACAUGUCUGGAUAACCCAAGAAGCGAUGGAAAAAAGAUGGGAUUACCUGAUCCUAGUCAGUGUCACAAGGUGACAUUAUGUUUUGUAAAUUUUGCAAUGUAACUUUAUUUGGUGAACAAGUUAUUAAAAUCAUUGUACUGUAUGUUCAUUAUCACAUUUGUUUAUAUGAUUUCUAAGGAAAUUUCCUGUGUUUGUUUAUAUGCAGUUAUUAUUAUGUUUGUAUUUACAGAACAAAGUUGGGUUUAUUCUUGUAUACAUAGAGUAAAAGGUUUGAGUAUUUAUUAUAAAUUUUUGCAUGGUACUCACAAGUGAGCAGUCUCCAAGAUGCAAGGUGUGGUGAGUCAUAUUUAUUUGUUGUAAGUAAUCAUUGGUUAUAAUUUGGUAAUGAGUCAAUGAGUGUGUGUGUGAGGAAAAUUAGUAUAUAUUGUGCUACAUUUAUUGGUGUAAGACAAGACUUGCAUGAUGCAGAGGGUUAUGGCCAUCCGGCAGCUAAGAAGUAAACUUGAAUAUGGGGAUUAUUAUUGUGAACAGCCAAUUAUUUAUAAUAUUUGUAUGGAAAAAUGGCACCACAAUGGUGAGUGGCAUAUUAUAUGAGAAAGGGAAUACAACUAUAUUGAACACUUGAACUGCUUCUUAAUUUCAUUAUUUUUAUAGUAGUCUGGUAAUAUAUCAAGAAAUUGAUGAUGAUUGUAAUGUAAUGGUAUUGUUCUGUCUGUGACAUGUGAGAAAGUACUAAAAUAUUACUGUCCCUUCUCAUGGAAAUAUUUGUCCUGGUGUAGAUGAUCUAUGCAGAACAGCACUUGGAGAGACUAGAGACAAUUACAAGAUUAACAGCUACAGAUAUGUGAAUUUUCUGGAGGGUAUUUGUGUAAAUUGGGUAACUUGCUGAGAAUUUCUUUAUUAGUUUGAUUUAGAUUUUGACAUUUAUUUUGUAAAUAUAUAACUUGCAAUAAAUUGUAAAAUUACA